Molecule: ribosomal RNA, 253 nt
Filed under: uncultured bacterium
Lineage: Bacteria
Description: partial 16S ribosomal RNA
Rfam family: Bacterial small subunit ribosomal RNA
Source: RNAcentral
UACAGAGGGGGCAAGCGUUGUUCGGAAUUACUGGGCGUAAAGGGCGCGUAGGCGGCCUGCUAAGUCGAACGUGAAAUCCCCGGGCUCAACCCGGGAACUGCGUCCGAUACUGGCAGGCUUGAAUCCGGGAGAGGGAUGUGGAAUUCCAGGUGUAGCGGUGAAAUGCGUAGAUAUCUGGAGGAACACCGGUGGCGAAGGCGGCAUCCUGGGCCGAAACUGACGCUGAGGAGCGAAAGCGUGGGGAGCAAACAGG